AAAGGGGAAAACAUGUACAUAUUCAGUUAUUAAAAUAAUUGGAAAAGCCGAGCUUGAAACUGGGGUAGUACAUGUAUUUAGAAUUUUGUGAGGGGACGUUUCUUAUCUGGGGGGUCAAGAGAAGUUCUGGUUCACAGUCUGUCAUCUCUUUUUACAGUUUCCUGUGGACAAAUACAUAGAAACACAUUCAUAUCUCAAACUAUCUAUACUGUCUAUCUUGGGGUGGAAUUUUAUUUUUAUUUCAUAUCAUAAAGUGUCUUCUGCUGACAAGGAUUAAUUGUGAGGGAGUUCAUUAUCCUCAAGGGAAUGAGAUCUGGCCAAGAAUAACAAAGCAGAGCAAUAUGAGAGCUUCUGCUCCAACUUUUGCGGCCAUACUGUGAAUAGGUCCUCAGUUCCCUAGUCAAGAUGAAAUAAUUUAGUGCUUUCAUGGGGAGAAAUUCAGACCAAGUAGCAAUCAAGGGCAUAAUGAAGGAAAGGGAAGAGUGCACUGAAAACAUUUCUUCCACGUAAUCCACAACCAAAUGUUGCAGGUGCACAAUCUCAGUGAAAGUCUCUUUUUCUUUAUGUGAUAGAGGAUUUCUCUCUUCUUGUCAUAGAAAUUCAUUUACUCCACAGCAUUUGUUGGUAACUUUUCUUCCUAAAGGGACAUUUCUUUGUUAUUGCCUUUAAAAAGUUGACUUCUUGGAGUUCCCUGGUGGCCUAGGAGGUUAAGGAUCCAGUGUUGUCAUGACUGUGGCUCAGGUCGAUGCUACAGCAUGGCUCAAAUAAACAGAUUUUCCUAAAUUUUAAAGCAUGUUGGAACAAAGGUUAUUUUGUUCCCUGGGUGCCUUUAUAACAGUCAUUUGGAAAAUUCAUACUUGACUUAUAAGCAAUUUUUAGAAUUCCUUUACUAAUUAAAAAAAAAAAGGUAACUUGUAAAUAAGUAUGAGUGAUGACUAGGGCAGUCCAAUUUUCUUCAGUUGCUUAAGUAUGAUGAGCAGUUUUCACUAUUUGACCAACCAGAGGGCUUCAUAUUUGUCAGUAAUAAUAAACAUUUUCUAUGACACAUCUCCAAUUUUUGUGUGGUUUUCCUGUGUGGGAAGUACUAAAUUGUUUUCAAUUUACUAGACAGAAUUAGGCAAGUAUAAGAGUUUUUUUUGUUUUUAUUUUUUUGGCCUCACCUGUGGCAUGAGGAAGUUCCCAGGACAGGGAGUGAAACCACACCAGAGCUAUAACCCAAACCACUGCAGUGACAAUGCCGGAUCUUUAACUGCUAGGCCAUCAGGGAAUUCCUGGUGAUUUUAUAAAUGAUCACAAAUUCUUUCCCUCCCUGCACUCAUGAGUUUGUAAUGUAACAGCUUUGUAGUGUGAUGCCCUUGCCAAAGGAUGCUGCAGAAUCUUCUAGGUAGAGAAAUCUAUUUCUCCACUCUGAAUCCUGACUUUAAAAAGUGCUAACAGGAGUUCCCGUUGUGGCACAGUGGAAACAAAUCCGACUAGUAUCCAUGAGGAUGAGGAUUCGAUUCCUGGCCUCACUCAGUGGGUUAAGGAUCCAGCAUUGCCUUGAGCUAUGGUGGAGGUCACAGACACAGCUUGGAUCCUACCACUGCUGUGGCUGUGACAUGGGCCAGUAGCUACAGCUCCAAUUCGACCCCUAUCUUGGGAACUUUCAUAUGCCAUGAGUGCAGCCCUAAAAAGAAAAAAAAGUGUGGACAUAUUCAAGCUUCUGCUACCUUUUUGCUCGUAAAAGCCCUCUGCCACUGUGUGAACAAGCUCAGGCAAGCCUACAGAGGGAUGAUGGACCCAUGGAGGAAAUUAAGCUCCCAGACAUGGGAUGGAGUCCAGCCAAGAAGGACUGAUUCUGGUCCUGAUCACAUGGAAUGUCCAACAAGCCCAAACAGAUUGCCAUCACACAGAAUCAUGAACUAAAUCAAUGUUUUCUUAAGGUCACUAGUUUGGGGGUGGUUUAUUGCAUAGCAAAAGUUAAGUGACACAGCAAGCAAAUGGUCAUCCCAGUUAGUUAGAAUGUAGUACUUAUAAAGCUAGGGCCAGUGUCCAGAAUGUCUAAAGAGCCAAAUUCUUCCAUAACCAUGGUCUUUGGCCAUAAAGCAAAAAGGUUGGGCCUCAGUUGGAGGUUCUGUUGAGUACCACCUCUGUGAAAUACAGUAUGGUCUUUGAAGUCACACAGACCGAGUCAAAUCCUGGCUCUACAGUACUAAUCUGAGCUAAUCGAUUCAUUUCGCCCUUGAAGAUCAGACUCUUCACCUAUCAAAUGGGGCUACGUGGGUAGUAAAAACUACCUCAUGUUAAAUGGAUUAAAUGAAAUUAUAUCAUCUGCUUGCAUGGUGCCUGAUAAAUAGCAAUUAAUUAAAUUGUAGGUACACAUCAUACAAAUACAACAAAAUUGAAGAGCCACCGAGAGAGAGUGCAAAUAUCAUAAGGCCCCUUUGCAGGCAACACAACAGCAAGGUGUGUGCUGAACUCCCUGCAAACUGCUCACAUCCUUGGUUCUCAUGAGAAUAUCAUACUUUCUUUGGUGGCCAUGUUCAAGUCAUCUUCCCUCCACUCAACUGUGAAGUCUUUAACUCUCUGCCCCAAUCUACUCCCUUACCCUGCUUUCUCCACAGAUGCCCAGUGACUUUAUACUCUCCAGAGUCCCCCAUUCAGGCACCUGGCAAAUAUAACUUCACCUCAGCAGGUCACCACCCCACCCCCUCAUCACUAAUUCCUAGGUUCCAUCACUGGAAUGAAAAAAUGAAGAAAAUGAAUCUAUUAUAAUACUAAAAAUAAAACACGUAAUUAUUAUAGAAUUAUUCCAACCCGUUCUCAAGGAACAUGUUUGUAUCUUUUACAUGUUUUUAGGAAUCCAGUCUUGAGGCUGAGAAGCUGGUGCUCGCAGGAGGGAUUGUGAAGAAAAGGCUCGGGCCCUUCGUCUUUGGAUAUCUCAAAUUUUGUUUUAGGAUCCCUUUACCACAGCCUCUGUCCUUCUGAAUUCUGAGCCUUAAGUCAGCAAGGAAAUCCAUGUGAAGAAGAAUGGCACUGUGGAACACCCUACAAGAAAUCCUGCCAGACACAAUGCAUUUCAAUGCGAUUUCCACUUGACUAUAACAAACACAUUUUUCAAAGAAAUUCUCCAGUGAAUUUGGAGAUUACUUUUAGUGAUUGCUUGCCUUAAAAGCCCCAGGCCAAACCAUUUUCACGUGGUUGUCCCUGAUUUCUUAAAGAGAACUGAAAAAUAUCCAUGUAUGUAAAUAAAAACAAAGAAAAUACACACUAUGUAUGGUAGUAAGUCCUUAACUGGUAAAGUUACAAUUCUCGACAUCCCUCUUCCUCUCUAAAAGUGCUUCUACUGUAUUUGACAUAGAUGUGUAUUACAGCAAGUGAUGAGGUUGAUCAAGAGGAAAUUCAAGAGAAAAACUGCAUGGACGAAACCAAAGCAGAGAAUGAUAUCCAAUCUCCCCCCACCAUCCCAAGGGUAUUUCACACUGGAGUCCAAAUGAAAUAUCUAAUUGGAAACAGCAGUGAGCAAAGGAGAAACUAGACUCAGAUGGUUUUUAAUUCAGUUGGCACGGUACCUGUGUUCCCAAGCCUGCCCUUUCAUUCUCCUUCAGUAUGGAAAACCAAAGCCAGCCCCACACCCAGCCAGGCUGCUCAGCCCUACGGUGUAAUAUGAGACCAAAAGAGGCAUCCUCCCUGAGGCUCAAGGACCUGCCAGCUGGCCACAUGAGUGCACUUACCUAGAGCUCCAGCCAAAACCCACAGUUCCAACAUGGAGCCCCAAGAGAGGUGCAGUGAGGAUAAAAAUUGACAGGGAAAAGUACACACAUUAUUAGAGCAUUAUGAGGCAUUAACCAGGUUCCUGAGGAUUUUUAUUCAUGUUAAUUUAGAGGACAGACGUUAGAACCCUGUGGGAGUGAGAUGGAUUUUCAAAUUUGGGGCAAACAACCCAAAGCAGAAAGUAAAUUCCAGGGAAACAAUAAGAGCACUACUGUUGUCCAAGGUUCUGAACAGCUGAGGAGAUAGCAUUGGAUUCCAGACCUGGGACAGGGUUGUUACAUGGGCCUGUGUCUUGGCCCCUUCAGGCUGCCAUAAAAAAAUGCACAGGCUGUGAGCCUUAAGCAAAAUAAUUAUAUUUUUCACAGUUCCAGAGACUGGGAUGUGCUUUGCUCUGAAUGCCAGGCAAUUCGGAUUCGGGUCCUGGUGAAAGCUCUCUUGUUCUGGCUUGCCGACAGCUACCCUUUUGCUUUGCCCUUACAUGGCAGAGAGAGCAAGAAAGUGCAUUUACGUGGGGGGAGGAGGGGGAGGGGAUAAGAGAAAGAGGGAGGGGAGGGGAAAGGAGAGAGAAAGAGAGAGAGAUAAGGAAAAGGAGAGAGAGAUGGAGAAAGAGAGAGAGAGAGUGCACUGACCUGGGAGAAGGGGAAGGAGGAGUGGGGGUGGGGGGAGAAAGAGAGAAAGUAAGCUUCCUGGUCUCUUUUCCUAAAGGCAAUAAUCCCAUCAUGACGACCCCACCCUCAUGACCUCCUAAACUUAAUUAUUUUCCAAAGACUCCACCUCCACUGAUAGGAGCUAGGACUUCAACAUAUGAAUUCCGGGGGGACAUAAUUCAGUCUAAAGAAGACUUGUGCCAGAAAACAAGGAAGGGCUCAAUGAAGAACAGGGAUAUGUCAAAAGAAUACAAAAGAUAACCUGACUGGGUGACCACUAGCCAAUCAGGGACAAGUUGAGUAUAAAAAUAAAUAAUGAUAAUAAGGGAUUAUAACCCAGUGAAUAAAAUGUUUCCACAAGUCUGCAUAUAUUCAAAUAAAUAAGUUGGAAGUUUGACAAACAACGGGAUAGUUACAGUUUCAAAGUAUUUCCACAUGAAAUAUUUUAUGGUGGCUAACUAUGGAGGCAUCACCUUUAUCAAAGCAAACAUCAUCAGUUAUGGAACAAAUGGAAACCAGGCACUACCUGAAAAGAUACCACGUAAGUGAAUACAGUAUAAUUUCAGUGAUGUUCCUGCCCAAAACGAAUGAUUCUAAUCUAAUCAUAAAGACACAUCACACAAAACCCGACUGAGAGACAUUCUAAAAAAUAAACCACUCUAUUAUCUUCAAAGGUGCCAAGUUAUAAAAUCAAGGAAAUAAGGAAUUGCCUUAGACUGAAGGACACUAAAGAGGCAUGACAACUACAAUAGGUGACUCUGACCUGGAGUCUUUUGCUACAAAAGACAGUAUUGGGCAAUCAGCAAAAUUUGCAUGGCAAAUUUUCUCUGUAAAUGAGAGUUGUAAUGUAUUGAUGUUAAUUCCCUGACCUUGCAAUGUGGUAUGUAAGAGAAAGUCCUUGUCUUAGGAAAUACCUAUGAAAGUAUUUGAGAUUAAAUACCUUACUCUCAUAUGGUACCAGCAAUAUCUGCAGAUAUUGUCAAAUGUCCCUGAGGAUUGGGGUCCCAAGAGGAAAAUUGUCUCCAUUGAGAACUGUUGGAAUAAACCAACUGGGACAGAACUAACUUGGGCUCCACUUAAAUGUCUUAAAUCUCUGCUAUAAAACUAUCAGGAAACUACCAACUUUACAGGAGGGCAUAUAAUAAUAUAAAGACAAAUGGAGCAGAAAAUCCUCUAAUUAAUUACCCAACAUGUUAAUUUCUUCUCCUUGAUACACAUAAUAACAACUUUGGGGAAUCUACUGGUCAAUAUCUUCAUUCUACAUAUG
This 5667-nucleotide long non-coding RNA is filed under the name Sus scrofa (pig). RNAcentral's name for it is "lncRNA (ENSSSCG00000062253.1, ENSSSCG00175014445.1)". Lineage: Eukaryota; Metazoa; Chordata; Mammalia; Artiodactyla; Suidae. The record is from RNAcentral.